Leptonychotes weddellii (Weddell seal) is the source of this 104-nucleotide small nuclear RNA. NCBI's taxonomy places the organism in Eukaryota, Metazoa, Chordata, Mammalia, Carnivora, Phocidae. The record is from RefSeq and is a predicted model, not a curated record.
GUGCUCGCUUUGGCAGCACAUAUACUGAAAUUGGGAAUGACUCAGAGAUUAGCAUGGCCUGCUCUAAGGACGACACACAAAUUCAUGAAGCGUUCCAUAUUUUU